Lynx canadensis (Canada lynx) is the source of this 1163-nucleotide long non-coding RNA. RefSeq lists it as uncharacterized. NCBI's taxonomy places the organism in Eukaryota, Metazoa, Chordata, Mammalia, Carnivora, Felidae. The record is from RefSeq and is a predicted model, not a curated record. The transcript has 3 exons.
CCCUCAGUUUGUUCUCAGUUUUUAAGAGUCUCUUAUGGUAGUCUCUUUCAUCUCACAACACUUUAUUCCGAAUCUCCAAGCUAGAUAUCACUGCCCUCUUUUUCCCUCCCUCCCUUUUCCUUUCCUUCUCUCCCCCUUCCUCCUCCUCUCUCUCCACAAUCGCUUAUAUACCUCUCCAACUAGAGGUUUCCAAACAGAUGCUUUAAUGACCCAUCAUGACAAAAAUAUUGCACUUGGUUAAAAGAGGGGAACAGAGAGGAAGAGCCGGUAAGUAGACAUAUGUGGUAGGUAAGAAUGAGUGAGAAUCAUGUGGAGGAACUUCCGUGAAAAUGGUUCCAUUGGUAAUGAAGCAGCAGCAUUUGGGGGGCCAUGAUGCUUUGGGUAGAAAGAGGAAAUCUAUACCAAUCUAUACCAAUCCCUUCCCUAUGCGUCUGACUUCAUGAAACUAUAUUCUACGCUAAGAUGUGAAAGGAGCCUGGCACUUAUUUAAGACAACAAUCUAGACAGAACAUUUUAGAACGUUCUGAUGAAUUAGCUGUGUGAUCAUCUUGGGUGGGGAGGAGGAGGACUCAGCUGUGGUCCUGGAUUAAGUGCUUGCUUUUCUUCCCCUGAAAGAAUGACUCUACAUGUUGUUUAGAAGAAUAAGAGAACGUAAGUCAUUCGCCUAGGAUUUUGCCUGAAAAUGGGAAAUGUGAGAUUUGGAUUGACUAUAAGCAACGGAGGUAUAAACAUACAUAAUGAGGGACUCAGAAGCCCUCUCAUGUCUGGAAUACGAUGUCACAGAACGUCUCUCCUUGGAGACUCCAGAGGACAGCGUGAAACAGGAAGAAAAUUGUUUGAUUAUAACUGUGACCCAGCAGAAUGGUGGUACCCAUUUGGGACAGCAGACACAAUGAAACAGAGGCAGGUCAUAAAAUUUUCUGUGCAUCAUUAAACACUCAGCAAAAUCCUGUCGGGACAGGAUUAUACGACUCUCGACCUAUAGUCUGGGAAAUAGUUGUCACAAGAGAUUAUUGUUUCUCAAGAUGAAUGUAUAAGAAAUGUUUUAAUCUCUAAAGCAUUUGUUCCUCAACGGCCAACCCUUUCUUGUGACUUUGUCCUGAUUCUACCUAUGAAGAUAACCCCACCCUUUAUAAUAAUAAAGCUAUAUAAUGUUACUGUUA